Molecule: non-coding RNA, 30 nt
Filed under: Homo sapiens (human)
Lineage: Eukaryota; Metazoa; Chordata; Mammalia; Primates; Hominidae
Source: RNAcentral
UGGCUUCAAAGUGCCACGUUUGGCUAGUGA